GACGUAGGUGGCGAUCGUUAUCCGGAAUUAUUGGGCGUAAAGAGCUCGUAGGCGGUUUGUCGCGUCUGCUGUGAAAACUCGGGGCUUAACUCCGGGCCUGCAGUGGGUACGGGCAGACUAGAGUGCGGUAGGGGAGACUGGAAUUCCUGGUGUAGCGGUGAAAUGCGCAGAUAUCAGGAGGAACACCGGUGGCGAAGGCGGGUCUCUGGGCCGUAACUGACGCUGAGGAGCGAAAGCGUGGGGAGCAAACAGG
Molecule: ribosomal RNA, 253 nt
Filed under: uncultured bacterium
Lineage: Bacteria
Description: partial 16S ribosomal RNA
Rfam family: Bacterial small subunit ribosomal RNA
Source: RNAcentral